This is a non-coding RNA of Paramuricea clavata, 97 nucleotides long. The record is from the annotation of a GenBank genome assembly. Lineage: Eukaryota; Metazoa; Cnidaria; Anthozoa; Malacalcyonacea; Plexauridae.
UACCUCAAAAAACCACAACAGUCUGUUUCAUCCGUAUAGGAAUCAUCUGGUGGUGAUGAUGAUUCCUAUACGGAUGAAACAGACUGUUGUGGUUUUU